AAUAGAAGGGUGUCUCCUAGAUGAAGGUUACUUCCUCAGAAGUGUUCUGUAGCCAGAGAUCCUAUUGCCAGUUGGCCAUGAUUGUUAAUGGUGAACCCCCUGAAAUGCUGACAUUGAAUGCCUCUUGCACAAUGUGGUUCUUCUGUAAGACUUGGAAGGAACAAGGAAAAAGGGGACUGUGGCACACCAUGCAUGAGGAAAAGACAAGGACCUGACUGUCUAGGUUGAAGAAGAGGAGCCUCAGAUCCCUAAAUUACCUCUUCAAUUACUUGAAGUGUACUAUACAGAAGAUGAAUCCAGACUCUUCUCAGAAAAGCACGUGUGCAAGGUGAAAUGAGCACAAAUUGCAGCAAGAAAUUUUCCACCUAGAUAAAAGGAAGAACAAAUGUCACAAUCAGAAUGGUCAAACACUGCGACCAGCAUACAAAGAGGCUGUGAAGUCUCUGUUCUAGGAAACAUUCAGAGCAGAGCUAGAUACAGCAACCCAAAUUUGAGUACAGUCCCAUUCUGAGAAGGAGAUUAGACCAGAUGGUCUCCUCAAAUUUGAAUAUACAAUUUUGAGUGUACCAUAAUUUAUACACCAAAACUGCAACUCAGACUAUUAAUAGAGUGUUUUCUUCAAAGUGAAUUUAUCUUUAACUGUACUGAAUGUUAGACCAAAGCUGAUUCGUUCUACCAGCAGUCUAACCAAAUAGUUUCUCAAUUUAGUUGUGCUGUAAAUGUCUUAGUCUCCUGAAGAUGGAAGACAGUAGGCAAUUCACACAAAGAGGCAUUAAAAACAGUAAUCUUGGUUAAAUAUCUAAUUUAUGAAGUUUCAUGAAUGGUAAUGGGUGUUAGAGAUGUAAAAUCUAAGUGUUACCUCAAAGACAAUGUGGUAACCUGAGAUCACCCUUCAUGGAGGGUAUGGAAGUAUGUGGGUAAAGUCAGAUAAAAUGGCGACAGUGCCUUUUCCAGCAGCUUUGUGGAUUUGUUCUGGUAUGUUUUUUUUUUUUUUAAUUGUUUUUGGAAUGCAGUGUCUAAAUUCAUUCAGUUUGACUCUUGUGCUGUGACAGCUGAUUUGGAGUGAGGACAGAAAUAUGCAAGUAUUGCAUUCAUUCUCUUAUCCUGUUUGCUAUUCUCAGCCCCAGGUUUAGAGACACCCAAGAUCUAGAGCUAGUGCUGUGUGAUUGUAUGACAGUCUUCCUAUCACACAGAUUAACUUAUUAAUGACACAGAACUCCAGUUGGGAGUGUAAUCUGCAAUGCUGAGUACUAGACAAUCAGAAAACCUCCUUAUAUGUUCUGCAUAACAAACCUGAGGAGUAACAUAGCAGCAAGCAUCCAUUGGCCUUGAACUCAUCCCAGUUUAGCAGCCACUGGGCUCGGUAACCAGUCAGCCUUAGUAGUAACGAGUAAUGAAGCAAACAAACAAAAAAUACUUUGACUCAGUACAUUUCACUGCUUCCUUACUAGAGUGAAAGUGUUUUGUCCUUUCAGUUUAACACAAGUUAGUAACGCUAAUUUUUUGAAUAAAAAGCUAAAACCAAAGAUGUGUCUUACUAACAAGAAGCUGAAGUAAAUAGCCCCUUUCUUGCUUUCUUGCACUUUUGAUUGUAACAAAGUGAUAGUGGACAAGCUGUAGUGACAUGCAAAUCCUUAAGUCGUUAACUUGCAAAGCAUGAGAGCACUACCCACGUUCCAUAAAAGAGACUGGAAAAUCGGUGUUGAUCCCUUCUCUCUCGCCACACCUCAGCAGAUGCAGGUGUUGUUCUGAAAAUAGAGUAAAACUUCACAUUUUUUUAGAACUAGACCAGAGCACAGUAUUAAUCUCUCACUUUAGAUUAGCAAAUGUAACGAUCCUUGUCUACUUUCAUUUGUGUUAUCUUUUUGUCCCAGAAGGGGAGUGUUUUCUUGCCAAGAGAAGGAAAAAGCUAAAAUGUUUUCCAGGUUAUGUCAUAAUAACAAACCUCAGAUCCACUACAUGAGAGAAUAGCGUAAGAGAAAUGUUAACAAGCCAGUAAUAAUGAUGAACAGGAGUGCAAUCUAACAGCCCUUACACUACAAUGAAUUUUCUGAAAGAAUAAUGAGGUUCAAGUGCAGCUGCUGGGUUGGGAUGCUAUAUACUGUGAUGCUGAACUUUGAGUACCAAGUUAAUGAUCUGAAGAUACCCCAAACGCCCCUUCUGAAAAUAUUGGCCAUAGAUUUUCUACACUGACGUUUAAGUUAAAGUCAUGCUGACCCCAGAAUAAAGGGCAAAGAGAGUCCUGUUAAACUUUUGUAAACAUUUUUUGUUUUUCUACUCUAAGAUCUUGUCUCUGGUAAGAGAGCUUAUAUGUCCUUGUAGUAUUUCCAAAAUGUAAACUUGUGCUUAAGGACAUUGUUCAGGUUCCUCAAAGUUAAUAUUUUUUUUUAGUGUCCACAAUUCCAAAUAAAACACAAUUGUUC
Gallus gallus (chicken) is the source of this 2423-nucleotide long non-coding RNA. The record is from Ensembl. Lineage: Eukaryota; Metazoa; Chordata; Aves; Galliformes; Phasianidae.